This is a long non-coding RNA of Cydia amplana, 362 nucleotides long. RefSeq lists it as uncharacterized. NCBI's taxonomy places the organism in Eukaryota, Metazoa, Arthropoda, Insecta, Lepidoptera, Tortricidae. The record is from RefSeq and is a predicted model, not a curated record. The transcript is spliced from 2 exons.
AAAUUAGAAAGUAAUGGUAUUUGAAAAGAAAGAAAAUAUGACUAACUGUGAGAUUUUGAUUGGUCAAAAAGAGUGCAACAAGUGAAAGAGUUUGUGUAUCUGGGAACCUUGUUCACUAGGGACGGUAAGCAUGAUAAAGACAUUGAAAGGAGAGUGAAUGCUGGAAAUCGCGUUCGCAAAAAGCACGGUUGGCUGUGCAUAGAGGGGUGUUGGUGCCUAGACUCAUGUAUGGUAGCGAAAGUUGGGUAUGGCAGAAGAGGCAUCAGAGCCAAGUGAAUGCAGUGGAAAUGAGAGCGUUGAGAAGUGUGUGUGGUGUGAGAUUACAAGAUAGAAUUAGGAACAGUGUGAUAAGGGAAAAGUGU